Molecule: long non-coding RNA, 596 nt
Filed under: Rattus norvegicus (Norway rat)
Lineage: Eukaryota; Metazoa; Chordata; Mammalia; Rodentia; Muridae
Description: long non-coding RNA NONRATT025318
Source: RNAcentral
AGCAGAAGCGGUGGCGGAGUCCCUGCUCUCUCCUACAGAAAGCAUGCCGCGUGGCACUGCCGUUGCAGCUUCUGCUCCUGCUCUUUCUGCUGCUGCUGUUCCUGUUGCCAGCGGGCGAGGAGGAGCGCAGCUGCGCCCUGGCCAACAACUUCGCUCGCUCUUUUGCGCUCAUGCUGCGGUACAACGGCCCUCCGCCCACCUAGCCCACCGGCGGGCGCACAGGUGACCUUCUGCAGUCCCUCUGAACCUGGCUGCUGGGGGCACGAUAGCCAUUCAGACACCCAGAGCAGCCUUAGACCAAAUGUUGUAUCUGUUCCCAGAACAAACUUGCCUUUUCUACGAUGCUGCUUCUGUCUAUUUAUACUAAAUGUGCACUGUGUGUGGUUAGGGAAUAUGUACAGAAUUUUUAUAUGCCAUGUAACUUCAGCUGCAAUGUCUCUUUGUGCCUAGGGAAGCCCCUGGCAGUGUGUUUCUCUAGUAGGAUUUGUGGCACUUGUGCCAUAGCGUCCUGUCAUCCCUGGGGGACAGGAAAAAUCACAGGUUACAUCGAUGACAUCUGACCCCCAGAAAUCCAGAUGUUGCUGAAGAGCCUCUGA